GAUCUCAACUCUUUUAAAUUCGCACUUAAACUUUUAUUUUAAUUUAACCUUGUUACAAAACCAUUAUCAAAUUAUCAAACAAAUUCGUGUAAAUAGUUGCUUAACUAAUUCUUGUAGGAAUUAGUGUAAAUCCACUCUGAUCCCUGAAGACCAUAUUCCGGCACUUUAAUGGAUUUUACUACUUUGAUGAUACAGUGCAUUUCUCGUUCAUAAAAUAUCUAACAAUUCCAAGAAUAACGGAUAAGGUCCUCAAAAGUAUGGUGGGAUAACCACGCCGCCAGCAUACGAAAAGUUCUAUGAAGGGAAUUUGCAGCCUAGAUUCCUGCCAAAUUGAUUAGCAUUGGAGAGUGAUCAGUUUUCAUAGCAUUAAGAUGGGUCACCGUAGACUGUGGGAAAGUCAUUCUCCAGUCCAGAUUCACCAAAGCUCUGUCAAGCUGCUCUUUAAGUCUACCACGCUUGCAAGUGAACCAGGGACCAGAGAAGCCCAAGUCAAUUAAAUUGCAGGAACUAAUCAAAGAUGCAAAAUCUAAUGCGCCUCUCAAAGGAUGGUUGCUAGAACUACCUUACCAUAACAUUAAAAUCCUCCAUUACACACUAAGGCCUAUUUAUUGCAUCAGUCAAAUAAAGAAGAGAAUCCCACAAGGCAUUCCUAAUUGAGAAAUAGGGACUAACAUAGACAGUUGUAAGAAUCCAAAGCUCACCACCCAUGAAUUGAAUUUCCAUAGUAAUUGAUUGACUCGAAGAUUAAAUGACUCCAACCUUCCAGACACUACAGAAGCAUUGGCAUAUGGGCAUCCUUGUUUGGGGUGGAUUGAUCCUUAGGAGUUGGCAUAUAGCUCAACGGGAAGAUCCGGAAUUCGAAUCUAGACCACAAUAUUAUGAUUCUCCUUUUCAUUUGAGAGAAAAAAAGGUCUCCAACAUUGGAUAAUUAGAUAGUGGUUAGCUAUCAUCCAAGGUCCCUCAUAAAGAGUAUGAUUAUAGUCUUCCUCAUUGUUGAAGUGCACUAAAAAAUACUGUUUCGGCAUGUCAAUUAUUUGUAUGGUUCCUUGAAUUUGCCAAAGAUGGUUCAAUCUGUUCUCCAUCAUCUUAAGAGGGAUAGUUGUGCCUAAAAGUUUAACCACCAAAGCAUGCUUCCAGGGUUUGCACCAAGUUUCAAAUUCCUCCUUGGUCACUGGAAUUUCCGGGCAGGGAUCAAAUGGUUUGUCCUCCUCCACCUCCUCGUACCACUGAUUCUCUACUAGGUCCUCAUCUUCAUCUUGGUUGUCCACCCCUGCAGUAUUUAGUGGAAAAGACAGGGGCUUGUCACGAUACGAGAUCCUGUGUCCAGCUUCAAAAGAGUCAUCCUCAGUUGAAGAGGGCCUUUCCUUUCAUCUCUGGUUUUAACUUUCUUGGUGCUCCCACUCAUGAGAUCUUCCUCUUGGGAGGAAGAAGAUUUCCCUAACACCCUAGCAGAAGUUUUCCUGUCUAAUUUUUGUUCUUCUUAAUUAUUUUGUUAAUGAUUAUACCACUGGUUUCUUUUUCCAUGGACAAUCAUUCCUGUGGUGUCUUCUAUACCAAUAAAAAAAUUAUAUUAGUAAUGACUUUUUUUAUACCGGCAAUCAUUUUGAUAUUGAUUAUAUCUCUAGAUAUUUU
This 1632-nucleotide long non-coding RNA is filed under the name Lupinus angustifolius (narrow-leaved blue lupine). RNAcentral describes it as "long non-coding RNA (LANG_LNC001339)". Lineage: Eukaryota; Viridiplantae; Streptophyta; Magnoliopsida; Fabales; Fabaceae. The record is from RNAcentral.